RNAcentral lists this ribosomal RNA (549 nucleotides) under Microbacterium sp. RNAcentral's name for it is "bacterial SSU rRNA". It matches the Rfam family "Bacterial small subunit ribosomal RNA", at positions 242 to 803 of the family's 1533-position model. Lineage: Bacteria; Bacillati; Actinomycetota; Actinomycetes; Micrococcales; Microbacteriaceae. The record is from RNAcentral.
CAGCUUGUUGGUGAGGUAAUGGCUCACCAAGGCGUCGACGGGUAGCCGGCCUGAGAGGGUGACCGGCCACACUGGGACUGAGACACGGCCCAGACUCCUACGGGAGGCAGCAGUGGGGAAUAUUGCACAAUGGGCGGAAGCCUGAUGCAGCAACGCCGCGUGAGGGAUGACGGCCUUCGGGUUGUAAACCUCUUUUAGCAAGGAAGAAGCGAAAGUGACGGUACUUGCAGAAAAAGCGCCGGCUAACUACGUGCCAGCAGCCGCGGUAAUACGUAGGGCGCAAGCGUUAUCCGGAAUUAUUGGGCGUAAAGAGCUCGUAGGCGGUUUGUCGCGUCUGCUGUGAAAUCCGGAGGCUCAACCUCCGGCCUGCAGUGGGUACGGGCAGACUAGAGUGCGGUAGGGGAGAUUGGAAUUCCUGGUGUAGCGGUGGAAUGCGCAGAUAUCAGGAGGAACACCGAUGGCGAAGGCAGAUCUCUGGGCCGUAACUGACGCUGAGGAGCGAAAGGGUGGGGAGCAAACAGGCUUAGAUACCCUGGUAGUCCACCCCGU